GUGGGGAAUUUUGGACAAUGGGCGCAAGCCUGAUCCAGCAAUGCCGCGUGCAGGAAGAAGGCCUUCGGGUUGUAAACUGCUUUUGUACGGAACGAAACGGUCCUGGUUAAUACCUGGGGCUAAUGACGGUACCGUAAGAAUAAGCACCGGCUAACUACGUGCCAGCAGCCGCGGUAAUACGUAGGGUGCAAGCGUUAAUCGGAAUUACUGGGCGUAAAGCGUGCGCAGGCGGUUUUGUAAGACAGGCGUGAAAUCCCCGGGCUCAACCUGGGAAUUGCGCUUGUGACAGCAAGGCUGGAGUGCGGCAGAGGGGGAUGGAAUUCCGCGUGUAGCAGUGAAAUGCGUAGAUAUGCGGAGGAACACCGAUGGCGAAGGCAAUCCCCUGGGCCUGCACUGACGCUCAUGCACGAAAGCGUGGGGAGCAAACAGGAUUAGAAACCCCAGUAGUCC
Molecule: ribosomal RNA, 450 nt
Filed under: uncultured bacterium
Lineage: Bacteria
Description: partial 16S ribosomal RNA
Rfam family: Bacterial small subunit ribosomal RNA
Source: RNAcentral